Molecule: non-coding RNA, 164 nt
Organism: Pelobates cultripes (western spadefoot toad)
Lineage: Eukaryota; Metazoa; Chordata; Amphibia; Anura; Pelobatidae
Source: the annotation of a GenBank genome assembly
ACUUGGAGAGGCGAGGGGAAAUGCGACAAAUUAGGGGGGGUACUAUUUUUAACCAAAUAAUGGGGAACAUACACAAUUAUGGCUUUAGCACAAUUAUGGCCCCAUUAUUUGGUUAAAAAUAGUACCCCCCUAAUUUGUCGCAUUUCCCCCUGCCUCUCCAAGUG